GUCGACCUCGGGUCAGGCAGGGCUACCCGCUGAACUUAA
RNAcentral lists this ribosomal RNA (39 nucleotides) under Paraisaria coenomyiae. RNAcentral describes it as "partial large subunit ribosomal RNA". The record is from RNAcentral. Lineage: Eukaryota; Fungi; Ascomycota; Sordariomycetes; Hypocreales; Ophiocordycipitaceae.